RNAcentral lists this long non-coding RNA (266 nucleotides) under Phoenix dactylifera (date palm). Its description in RNAcentral is "long non-coding RNA (PDAC_LNC007472)". Lineage: Eukaryota; Viridiplantae; Streptophyta; Magnoliopsida; Arecales; Arecaceae. The record is from RNAcentral.
AUUAUAAGAAAAAUUCAGGAGCCCAAUCCAAAUAUACAAAUUCAAAUAAUUAGAAUACUCCACCAAUUUGCAUACUAUAUGGCCUUAAGAAUUUAAUCCACUAAUAGAAAUAUGCAAAUUUACAAUAUUCAAACAUAUCAAUUCCAAAUAUAAUCUACAUACAGAUUUAACCUCGAAAAACAUUCUUUUCAAUAUUAUGAAAUCUUCUUAGCUCACUCCAAUACUAAAUCAACGUACAAAUCCCACUCUAAUAAUUAGCAGCAAAA